This is a small nuclear RNA of Pelodiscus sinensis (Chinese soft-shelled turtle), 116 nucleotides long. Its record names the gene U5. It matches the Rfam family "U5 spliceosomal RNA". From Rfam's summary of the family: U5 RNA is a component of both types of known spliceosome. The precise function of this molecule is unknown, though it is known that the 5' loop is required for splice site selection and p220 binding, and that both the 3' stem-loop and the Sm site are important for Sm protein binding and cap methylation. The record is from Ensembl. Lineage: Eukaryota; Metazoa; Chordata; Testudines; Trionychidae.
AUACUCUGGUUUCUCUUCAGAUCGUAUAAAUCUUUCGCCUUUUACUAAAGAUUUCCGUGGAGAGGAACAUUUAUGAGUUUGUACCCAAUUUUUUGAGGCUUCACUUCGGUGAAGCU